AAUAUUGGUCAACGGGCGCAAGCAUCAUCCAGCCAUGCCGGGUGCGGGAAGGAAGACGUCUGGGUGGUAAAAUAGUUUUUACAGGAAGAAACACCCCGUCGUGAGGGGGCGAAGAGGUACUGUAAGAAUUAGGUGCGGGCAACUCCGGUCAGCAGCCGGGGCCUACGUUGUUUGCAAGCGUUAUCCGGAAUCAUUGGGUAGAAAGGGUCUGUAGUUGGAUAAUUAAUCAGAGGGGUACGUCCAGGAAUCACCUGUAAAAUUGCCAAUGUAGAUUGUUGGAUUGAGUCAUUAGGAUUCCCAGAGAAGAGGUGAAAUUGGUAGAAAAUGCAUAGAUCAUCCAUGGAAAAGCAAUUGCAUAUGGUCGAUCACUAAUAAUGAGGCGCGAAAGCGGGGGGAACAAACAGGAUUGGAUACGAUGGUAGUCCAUGC
Molecule: ribosomal RNA, 429 nt
Filed under: uncultured marine bacterium
Lineage: Bacteria
Description: bacterial SSU rRNA
Rfam family: Bacterial small subunit ribosomal RNA
Source: RNAcentral